Molecule: ribosomal RNA, 512 nt
Filed under: Recchia hirticornis
Lineage: Eukaryota; Metazoa; Arthropoda; Insecta; Coleoptera; Cerambycidae
Description: partial large subunit ribosomal RNA
Source: RNAcentral
GUCCUUUUGAAUUUAAUUUAAGGUUUGACCUGCCCMCUGAAUAUUAAAGGGCCGCGGUAUUUUGACCGUGCUAAGGUAGCAUAAUCAUUAGUUUUUUAAUUGAAAGCUGGAAUGAAUGGUUGAAUGAAAAAAUAACUGUCUCUUUUUAAAUUUAAUUGAAUUUUAUAUUUAAGUAAAAAAGCUUAAAUUAUUUUAAAAGACGAGAAGACCCUAUAGAGUUUUAUAGAUUAUUAAAUAAAAAUUUUUAGGAUUAAUAUUUUUUAUUAUAAUAAUUUAUUUGGUUGGGGUGAUUGAAAAAUUUAAUAAACUUUUUUUUUAUUAAUUCAUUAAUUUAUGUAUAUUUGAUCCAUUUAUUAUGAUUAUAAGAAUAAAUUACCUUAGGGAUAACAGCGUAAUUUUUUUUUAGAGUUCAAAUUAAAAAAAAAGAUUGCGACCUCGAUGUUGGAUUAAAAUUUAUUUUUGGUGUAGAAGCUAAAAUAUUAAGUCUGUUCGACUUUUAAAAUUUUACAUGA